Molecule: ribosomal RNA, 1642 nt
Filed under: Escherichia coli
Lineage: Bacteria; Pseudomonadati; Pseudomonadota; Gammaproteobacteria; Enterobacterales; Enterobacteriaceae
Description: partial 23S ribosomal RNA
Rfam family: Bacterial large subunit ribosomal RNA
Source: RNAcentral
UAAGUACCCCGAGGAAAAGAAAUCAACCGAGAUUCCCCCAGUAGCGGCGAGCGAACGGGGAGCAGCCCAGAGCCUGAAUCAGUGUGUGUGUUAGUGGAAGCGUCUGGAAAGGCGCGUGAUACAGGGUGACAGCCCCGUACACAAAAAUGCACAUGCUGUGAGCUCGAUGAGUAGGGCGGGACACGUGGUAUCCUGUCUGAAUAUGGGGGGACCAUCCUCCAAGGCUAAAUACUCCUGACUGACCGAUAGUGAACCAGUACCGUGAGGGAAAGGCGAAAAGAACCCCGGCGAGGGGAGUGAAAAAGAACCUGAAACCGUGUACGUACAAGCAGUGGGAGCACGCUUAGGCGUGUGACUGCGUACCUUUUGUAUAAUGGGUCAGCGACUUAUAUUCUGUAGCAAGGUUAACCGAAUAGGGGAGCCGAAGGGAAACCGAGUCUUAACUGGGCGUUAAGUUGCAGGGUAUAGACCCGAAACCCGGUGAUCUAGCCAUGGGCAGGUUGAAGGUUGGGUAACACUAACUGGAGGACCGAACCGACUAAUGUUGAAAAAUUAGCGGAUGACUUGUGGCUGGGGGUGAAAGGCCAAUCAAACCGGGAGAUAGCUGGUUCUCCCCGAAAGCUAUUUAGGUAGCGCCUCGUGAAUUCAUCUCCGGGGGUAGAGCACUGUUUCGGCAAGGGGGUCAUCCCGACUUACCAACCCGAUGCAAACUGCGAAUACCGGAGAAUGUUAUCACGGGAGACACACGGCGGGUGCUAACGUCCGUCGUGAAGAGGGAAACAACCCAGACCGCCAGCUAAGGUCCCAAAGUCAUGGUUAAGUGGGAAACGAUGUGGGAAGGCCCAGACAGCCAGGAUGUUGGCUUAGAAGCAGCCAUCAUUUAAAGAAAGCGUAAUAGCUCACUGGUCGAGUCGGCCUGCGCGGAAGAUGUAACGGGGCUAAACCAUGCACCGAAGCUGCGGCAGCGACGCUUAUGCGUUGUUGGGUAGGGGAGCGUUCUGUAAGCCUGUGAAGGUGUACUGUGAGGUAUGCUGGAGGUAUCAGAAGUGCGAAUGCUGACAUAAGUAACGAUAAAGCGGGUGAAAAGCCCGCUCGCCGGAAGACCAAGGGUUCCUGUCCAACGUUAAUCGGGGCAGGGUGAGUCGACCCCUAAGGCGAGGCCGAAAGGCGUAGUCGAUGGGAAACAGGUUAAUAUUCCUGUACUUGGUGUUACUGCGAAGGGGGGACGGAGAAGGCUAUGUUGGCCGGGCGACGGUUGUCCCGGUUUAAGCGUGUAGGCUGGUUUUCCAGGCAAAUCCGGAAAAUCAAGGCUGAGGCGUGAUGACGAGGCACUACGGUGCUGAAGCAACAAAUGCCCUGCUUCCAGGAAAAGCCUCUAAGCAUCAGGUAACAUCAAAUCGUACCCCAAACCGACACAGGUGGUCAGGUAGAGAAUACCAAGGCGCUUGAGAGAACUCGGGUGAAGGAACUAGGCAAAAUGGUGCCGUAACUUCGGGAGAAGGCACGCUGAUAUGUAGGUGAAGUCCCUCGCGGAUGGAGCUGAAAUCAGUCGAAGAUACCAGCUGGCUGCAACUGUUUAUUAAAAACACAGCACUGUGCAAACACGAAAGUGGACGUAUACGGUGUGACGCCUGCCCGGUGC